CGGAUCCGAUUUACCGGAAUUUACGGUGAUUGCACGGUGAUUUCACCGUGCACGUUCACCGUGAUUUUCGGUGAAAUCACCGUAGUUUACGGUAAAAUCACCGCGAUUAACGGUAAAAUCACGGUGAUCCUACAUUAUAAAAUAGAUGAAAGUCUUGAAGUUAGUCAAAGGUCGAAACUCGCAAAAAACGGGCCACGAUUCAUUAUUGGUUAAGAUUUAGGCGCACGCGUAGCGCGCUAUUCACAUUUCUAGUAUAUUUUAAAUUGAA
Long non-coding RNA from Cotesia glomerata, 268 nucleotides. RefSeq lists it as uncharacterized. Lineage: Eukaryota; Metazoa; Arthropoda; Insecta; Hymenoptera; Braconidae. The transcript has 3 exons. The record is from RefSeq and is a predicted model, not a curated record.